ACUCCUACGGGAGGCAGCAGUGGGGAAUUUUGGGCAAUGGGCGAAAGCCUGACCCAGCAACGCCGCGUGAGGGAGGAAAUCCUUCGGGAUGUAAACCUCACAAGCAAGGGAAGAGCGCCGCGGGCUGAAUAAUCCCGCGGUCCGACGGUACCUUGCGUAAGCCACGGCUAACUACGUGCCAGCAGCCGCGGUAAU
RNAcentral lists this ribosomal RNA (195 nucleotides) under uncultured Actinomycetes bacterium. Its description in RNAcentral is "uncultured actinobacterium partial 16S ribosomal RNA". It matches the Rfam family "Bacterial small subunit ribosomal RNA", at positions 335 to 524 of the family's 1533-position model. Lineage: Bacteria; Bacillati; Actinomycetota; Actinomycetes. The record is from RNAcentral.